UCGACUCUAAGCCAUGCGAGUCAUUGUAGCAAUACAAGGCAGACGGCUCAGUAACGCGUAGUCAAUCUACCCUAUGGACGGGAAUAACCUCGGGAAACUGAGAAUAAUGCCCGAUAGAACAUUAUGCCUGGAAUGGUUUAUGUUUCAAAUGAUUUAUCGCCAUAGGAUGGGACUGCGGCCUAUCAGUUUGUUGGUGAGGUAAUGGCCCACCAAGACUAUUACAGGUACGGGCUCUGAGAGGAGUAGCCCGGAGAUGGGUACUGAGACACGGACCCAGGCCCUAUGGGGCGCAGCAGGCGAGAAAACUUUGCAAUGUGCGAAAGCACGACAAGGUUAAUCCGAGUGGUUUCUGCUAAAGAAACCUUUUGUCAGUCCUAGAAACACUGACGAAUAAGGGGUGGGCAAGUUCUGGUGUCAGCCGCCGCGGUAAAACCAGCACCUCAAGUGGUCAGGAUGAUUAUUGGGCCUAAAGCAUCCGUAGCUCGUUUUGUAAGUUUUCGGUUAAAUCCAUGCGCUUAACGUAUGGGCUGCCGGGAAUACUGCAUAACUAGGAAGUGGGAGAGGUAGACGGUACUCGGUAGGAAGGGGUAAAAUCCUUUGAUCUAUUGAUGACCACCUGUGGCGAAGGCGGUCUACCAGAACACGUUCGACGGUGAGGGAUGAAAGCUGGGGGAGCAAACCGGAUUAGAUACCCUGGUAGUCCCAGCUGUAAACUAUGCAAACUCAGUGAUGCAUUGGCUUGUGGCCAAUGCAGUGCUGCAGGGAAGCCGUUAAGUUUGCCGCCUGGGAAGUACGUACGCAAGUAUGAAACUUAGAGGAAUUGGCGGGGGAGCACCACAAGGGGUGAAGCCUGCGGUUCAAUUGGAGUCAACGCCAGAAAUCUUACCCGGAGAGACAGCAGAAUGAAGGUCAAGCUGAAGACUUUACCAGACAAGCUGAGAGGAGGUGCACUCCAAUA
This 958-nucleotide ribosomal RNA is filed under the name uncultured archaeon. Its description in RNAcentral is "bacterial SSU rRNA". It matches the Rfam family "Archaeal small subunit ribosomal RNA", at positions 38 to 1002 of the family's 1478-position model. The record is from RNAcentral.